CAGGAGCACAGGUGAAGGCAAUUUACCCGUGCUGCUGGAAGGGAUGGAGCCUGGCUCCACUUCUCCGAGACCCAUUUAAAAGCUGAUUACAGUGGGGAAGGAUCUCUUCUGGAGAUUCACUCCCCUGGAGUUUUAUAGUGAGCCCAGGAUGUGGCUCACAGGAACCUGUCCCUAAAUCUCAUCCCUUUAAUCUUCUGGCAGUUAAUUUAUAUCUAGUAGAAGUCCAGUGAAGAAAAUUGUGGAGAAGCAGAACUACACUGCAAUGAAGAAAUACUUAAAAUAUGUGCGUUAUCCACAGAAAACUGAGCCUGGUUCUGACUUUAGCCCAGAGUAAGCUGAACAAAAUGUUACUGGAAGCUGUGGAGGUGCGCCGUCAGGUCAUAUUGAACUAUGGCUGUUACAGGGCCACAGCAGUUCAUGGGAUGGGACUGUGAAAGGAAGGAGGGCAGAGAAUUCCCACCGGUAAAGCAGCUGAUGUCACCAAAGAUUCAUGAGCACUUACACUUUCUCAGUGCUGCUACAGUUCUCUUACACAAAAUCAAGGGAAAUUGUUUUUCAAAUAAGAACAGCAGCCUGCAAACAGACUUACAAGGCACUGGGAACUUUGAAGGACCUGAAAAGCCAUGAGUGAUGAUUCUCUGUGGGUGCCUGGCUCAGUUUAACCCACUCACCUGUGAAUUGCAGCACUGCACACACUGGAAAAAGAAGCAUAAAUGUCUGUGCCAUAAACACGGUAUUUUACAUCUUGACAUCCUGGAGGGCAUUUUGCAAUGAAUUCUGGAUUUAUUA
Long non-coding RNA from Tympanuchus pallidicinctus (lesser prairie-chicken), 789 nucleotides. RefSeq lists it as uncharacterized. NCBI's taxonomy places the organism in Eukaryota, Metazoa, Chordata, Aves, Galliformes, Phasianidae. The transcript is spliced from 5 exons. The record is from RefSeq and is a predicted model, not a curated record.